RNAcentral lists this transfer RNA (85 nucleotides) under Burkholderia mallei. RNAcentral's name for it is "tRNA-Thr(ggt)". RNAcentral also lists the same sequence under 1 other name. The record is from RNAcentral. Lineage: Bacteria; Pseudomonadati; Pseudomonadota; Betaproteobacteria; Burkholderiales; Burkholderiaceae.
GGCAGCCGGGCUGCCGGAUCACGGCGGCUCGGUCGACUGGUGGUUGACCAACGAUGCGGUGCUGAUCGACACGGCCGGCCAUUAC